CGGCCAGCGACGGAUCGGCCGCCGCGGGCAGGCCCGGACCAAGGCGCACGCUCUCGACGGGGACAUGGCGGCACGUGCUGCGCUCGGCCAGCACGUCGGGAUAAAAAGCGGCCAGGUAUUCGCUGCGCGUCAUAUAGUCGCGCGUCUCGCGGUUGACAAACUUUUGCGUGACGGGCUCCCAGCGCCACCGCGCGGCUUCGGCCGGAUCGCCCACGGGCUGUCGACCCGCGAGGUAGGGCAGUUCGUCGACGCCCAGCGUGCGGUAGGAGGUGGCAUAGGCCAACCCGAGACGGUCGAGUAUGUCCUCCUGGCGCCGCUGGGCGUCUUCCUCUUCGGCCAGGAGGGCGUCGAGCGACGGCUCCAGUGCCAUGGUGACGGGCGACGGUGGCCUUUCGAGCACCAUCGUCGUCGUCGAACCCGCGCCGCGCGAUCGCAUCAUUUUUUUUCUUGUUUUCUUUUCCUUCCGUUGUCGGUUGUUGUCGCGUUUUUUAAACGCCGAAAUGAGACAGCCUUUUUUUCCUUGUUCCGACUGUCGGGUCAAAUCGUCUCUUGUGGCGAGUCCAAUAGAUGCCCU
RNAcentral lists this long non-coding RNA (574 nucleotides) under Pandoravirus neocaledonia. Its description in RNAcentral is "hypothetical ncRNA". The record is from RNAcentral.